This 200-nucleotide ribosomal RNA is filed under the name uncultured prokaryote. RNAcentral's name for it is "partial 16S ribosomal RNA". It matches the Rfam family "Bacterial small subunit ribosomal RNA", at positions 524 to 723 of the family's 1533-position model. The record is from RNAcentral.
GACAGAGGGGGCAAGCGUUGCUCGGAAUCACUGGGCGUAAAGGGCGCGUAGGCGGGAUGGUAAGUCGGUCGUGAAAUCCUUCGGCUCAACCGAAGAACGUCGGCCGAUACUGCCGUUCUUGAGGGAUGCAGAGGAGAUUGGAAUUCCCGGUGUAGCGGUGAAAUGCGCAGAUAUCAGGAAGAACACCCGUGGCUAAGGCG